Sinocyclocheilus rhinocerous is the source of this 477-nucleotide long non-coding RNA. RefSeq lists it as uncharacterized. The record is from RefSeq and is a predicted model, not a curated record. NCBI's taxonomy places the organism in Eukaryota, Metazoa, Chordata, Actinopteri, Cypriniformes, Cyprinidae. The transcript is spliced from 3 exons.
ACAUGUUUGAUUUGUGAUUCAUUGCUUCUGUGUAGGAAUUUGAGCUUUCGUUUCAGUGAACGUUUCCACUUGGAUUAUCUAAUGUGAAAUGUGUUCAAAGAAUCACAUCACUGUAGGCUAUGGAUGUGUGAACACACUCAGAUGAAGUCUUCUGUCAGUCAGCAGCUCUUUUGAUCAUCGACGCCUCCUCAAACUCCCACAGCUACACACAGAGCCGUGGAUAUGCUGAUAUGAUCACCCUGGCAACAUCACGAGCCACUGAGGGCAAAAACACCAGAUCUGCUUGAAGAUGCUGGUCUCUGUGAAAGUCAGUGCUGGCGCCCUUCAUCGUAUGGUAAUCAUCCUCGCUUGCAAAAAGGAGGGACGGCAGCCAAACAGGACUGGAUUUGAUCUGCGUCCAGGGCUCUACUGAUAACCCCAUCUAUCUUAGUUGAUUUGGCAAAAAUGGCCUCACUAAUGACACCAGAGGGGGUGGCA